AGAGUUUGAUCCUGGCUCAGAACGAACGCUGGCGGCGCGCUUAACACAUGCAAGUCGAACGGGAUCCAGAGCUUGCUCUGGUGAGAGUGGCGCACGGGUGAGUAACGCGUGGAUAACCUGCCCUGGUAUCCGGAAUAACAUCUCGAAAGGGGUGCUAAUACCGGAUAAGCCUACGGAGCCCUCGGUCUCUGCAGGAAAAGGUGGCCUCUAUUUAUAAGCUACCGUAUCAGGAUGGGUCCGCGUACCAUUAGCUAGUUGGUGGGGUAAUGGCCUACCAAGGCGACGAUGGUUAGCUGGUCUGAGAGGAUGAUCAGCCACACUGGAACUGAGACACGGUCCAGACUCCUACGGGAGGCAGCAGUGGGGAAUUUUGCGCAAUGGGGGAAACCCUGACGCAGCAACGCCGCGUGAGUGAUGAAGGCUUUCGGGUCGUAAAGCUCUGUCAGAGGGGAAGAAAUGAGAUUGGCUAAUAUCCAAUUUUCUUGACGGUACCCUCAAAGGAAGCACCGGCUAACUCCGUGCCAGCAGCCGCGGUAA
RNAcentral lists this ribosomal RNA (537 nucleotides) under uncultured bacterium. RNAcentral's name for it is "bacterial SSU rRNA". It matches the Rfam family "Bacterial small subunit ribosomal RNA", at positions 8 to 523 of the family's 1533-position model. The record is from RNAcentral.